AACGGCCGCGGUAUACUGACCGUGCAAAGGUAGCAUAAUCAUUAGUCUUUUAAAAGAGGGCUGGAAUGAAAGGUUUGACGAAGUAUUAGCUGUCUCAUCUUAUUUGAAAUUAAAAUUUAACUUUUUAGUCAAAAGGCUUAAAUUUUAUUGGAAGACGAGAAGACCCUAUAGAGCUUUAUAUUAUCUAUUUUAAUUAUUUAUAUAUAAUUUUUAAUUAAAUGUGAAUAUUAUUUUGUUGGGGUGACAAGAAAAUAGAAUUAACUUUUUUAUUUAUUUAACAUUAAUAUAUGAUUAUUUGAUCCAUUACUAUUGAUUAUUAGAUUAAGUUACCUUAGGGAUAACAGCGUAAUCCUCCCCCAGAGUUCAUAUUUACGGGUAGGGCUUGCGACCUCGAUGUUGGAUUAAGAUAAUAACUAGGUGUAGCCGCUUAGUUUAUAGGUCUGUUCGAC
Molecule: ribosomal RNA, 449 nt
Filed under: Hemicordulia australiae
Lineage: Eukaryota; Metazoa; Arthropoda; Insecta; Odonata; Corduliidae
Description: partial 16S ribosomal RNA
Rfam family: Bacterial large subunit ribosomal RNA
Source: RNAcentral